Molecule: ribosomal RNA, 273 nt
Filed under: uncultured bacterium
Lineage: Bacteria
Description: partial 16S ribosomal RNA
Rfam family: Bacterial small subunit ribosomal RNA
Source: RNAcentral
UACGGAGGGUGCGAGCGUUGUCCGGAAUCACUGGGCGUAAAGGGCGCGUAGGCGGUUCUUCAAGCGUGUGGUGAAAGUCCGGGGCUCAACCCCGGAUCGGCCGUGCGAACUGGGGGACUCGAGCACUGUAGAGGCAGGUGGAAUUCCGGGUGUAGCGGUGGAAUGCGUAGAGAUCCGGAAGAACACCGGAGGCGAAGGCGGCCUGCUGGGCAGUGGCUGACGCUGAGGCGCGACAGCGUGGGGAGCAAACAGGAUUAGAUACCCCCGUAGUCC